CCUUGGCGGCAGGCUACACAUGCAAGUCGAGCGGUAGCACAGAGAGCUUGCUCUCGGGUGACGAGCGGCGGACGGGUGAGUAAUGUCUGGGAAACUGCCUGAUGGAGGGGGAUAACUACUGGAAACGGUAGCUAAUACCGCAUAACGUCGCAAGACCAAAGUGGGGGACCUUCGGGCCUCAUGCCAUCAGAUGUGCCCAGAUGGGAUUAGCUGGUAGGUGGGGUAACGGCUCACCUAGGCGACGAUCCCUAGCUGGUCUGAGAGGAUGACCAGCCACACUGGAACUGAGACACGGUCCAGACUCCUACGGGAGGCAGCAGUGGGGAAUAUUGCACAAUGGGCGCAAGCCUGAUGCAGCCAUGCCGCGUGUGUGAAGAAGGCCUUCGGGUUGUAAAGCACUUUCAGCGGGGAGGAAGGCGGUGAGGUUAAUAACCUCAUCGAUUGACGUUACCCGCAGAAGAAGCACCGGCUAACUCCGUGCCAGCAGCCGCGGUAAUACGGAGGGUGCAAGCGUUAAUCGGAAUUACUGGGCGUAAAGCGCACGCAGGCGGUCUGUCAAGUCGGAUGUGAAAUCCCCGGGCUCAACCUGGGAACUGCAUUCGAAACUGGCAGGCUAGAGUCUUGUAGAGGGGGGUAGAAUUCCAGGUGUAGCGGUGAAAUGCGUAGAGAUCUGGAGGAAUACCGGUGGCGAAGGCGGCCCCCUGGACAAAGACUGACGCUCAGGUGCGAAAGCGUGGGGAGCAAACAGGAUUAGAUACCCUGGUAGUCCACGCUGUAAACGAUGUCGAUUUGGAGGUUGUGCCCUUGAGGCGUGGCUUCCGGAGCUAACGCGUUAAAUCGACCGCCUGGGGAGUACGGCCGCAAGGUUAAAACUCAAAUGAAUUGACGGGGGCCCGCACAAGCGGUGGAGCAUGUGGUUUAAUUCGAUGCAACGCGAAGAACCUUACCUGGUCUUGACAUCCACAGAACUUUCCAGAGAUGGAUUGGUGCCUUCGGGAACUGUGAGACAGGUGCUGCAUGGCUGUCGUCAGCUCGUGUUGUGAAAUGUUGGGUUAAGUCCCGCAACGAGCGCAACCCUUAUCCUUUGUUGCCAGCGGUUCGGCCGGGAACUCAAAGGAGACUGCCAGUGAUAAACUGGAGGAAGGUGGGGAUGACGUCAAGUCAUCAUGGCCCUUACGACCAGGGCUACACACGUGCUACAAUGGCAUAUACAAAGAGAAGCGACCUCGCGAGAGCAAGCGGACCUCAUAAAGUAUGUCGUAGUCCGGAUUGGAGUCUGCAACUCGACUCCAUGAAGUCGGAAUCGCUAGUAAUCGUAGAUCAGAAUGCUACGGUGAAUACGUUCCCGGGCCUUGUACACACCGCCCGUCACACCAUGGGAGUGGGUUGCAAAAGAAGUAGGUAGCUUAACCUUCGGGAGGGCGCUACCCACUUUUGGAUUCCCGG
This 1446-nucleotide ribosomal RNA is filed under the name Klebsiella variicola. RNAcentral's name for it is "bacterial SSU rRNA". It matches the Rfam family "Bacterial small subunit ribosomal RNA". The record is from RNAcentral. Lineage: Bacteria; Pseudomonadati; Pseudomonadota; Gammaproteobacteria; Enterobacterales; Enterobacteriaceae.